GACGAACGCUGGCGGCGUGCUUAACACAUGCAAGUCGUACGAAGUGGCGAACGGGUGAGUAACGCUAAUCAACCUGCCCUUCAGAGGGGGACAACAGUUGGAAACGACUGCUACUCCCGCCUUCUAAUAGAUGAGCCUAAGUGGGAUUAGCUAGUUGGUGGGGUAAAGGCCUACCAAGGCGACGAUCUGUAGCGGGUCUGAGAGGAUGAUCCGCCACACUGGAACUGAGACACGGCCCAGACUCCUACGGGAGGCAGCAGUGGGGAAUAUUGCACAAUGGGCGCAAGCCUGAUGCAGCCAUGCCGCGUGUAUGAAGAAGGCCCUAGGGUUGUAAAGUACUUUCAGUCGGGAGGCGUUACCGUCAGAAGAAGCACCGGCUAACUACGUGCCAGCAGCCGCGGUAAUAC
This 407-nucleotide ribosomal RNA is filed under the name uncultured bacterium. RNAcentral's name for it is "partial 16S ribosomal RNA". It matches the Rfam family "Bacterial small subunit ribosomal RNA", at positions 28 to 526 of the family's 1533-position model. The record is from RNAcentral.